UGAGGAACAUGACCUUCGGCGGGGGAUAGCCGGCCCAACGGCCGGGUAAUACCGCGUACGACCACAUGGGGACAUCCCUGAGUGGUGAAAGCAGCAAUGCGCCGAUGGAAUGCCUCGCGGCCUAUCAGCUAGUUGGUGAGGUAACGGCUCACCAAGGCGACGACGGGUANCUGGUCUGAGAGGAUGGCCAGCCACAUUGGGACUGAGACACGGCCCAGACCUNUACCGGGGAG
RNAcentral lists this ribosomal RNA (233 nucleotides) under uncultured bacterium. Its description in RNAcentral is "partial 16S ribosomal RNA". It matches the Rfam family "Bacterial small subunit ribosomal RNA", at positions 118 to 347 of the family's 1533-position model. The record is from RNAcentral.